Molecule: ribosomal RNA, 397 nt
Filed under: uncultured Streptococcus sp.
Lineage: Bacteria; Bacillati; Bacillota; Bacilli; Lactobacillales; Streptococcaceae
Description: bacterial SSU rRNA
Rfam family: Bacterial small subunit ribosomal RNA
Source: RNAcentral
UACAUCCCGAUGCUAUUUCUAGAGAUAGAAAGUUACUUCGGUACAUCGGUGACAGGUGGUGCAUGGUUGUCGUCAGCUCGUGUCGUGAGAUGUUGGGUUAAGUCCCGCAACGAGCGCAACCCCUAUUGUUAGUUGCCAUCAUUCAGUUGGGCACUCUAGCGAGACUGCCGGUAAUAAACCGGAGGAAGUGGGGAUGACGUCAAAUCAUCAUGCCCCUUAUGACCUGGGCUACACACGUGCUACAAUGGUUGGUACAACGAGUUGCGAGUCGGUGACGGCGAGCUAAUCUCUUAAAGCCAAUCUCAGUUCGGAUUGUAGGCUGCAACUCGCCUACAUGAAGUCGGAAUCGCUAGUAAUCGCGGAUCAGCACGCCGCGGUGAAUACGUUCCCGGGCCUU